GGAGUUUGGACCGUGUCUCAGUUCCAAUGUGGCCGAUCACCCUCUCAGGUCGGCUACUGAUCGUCGCCUUGGUGGGCCGUUACCUCACCAACCAGCUAAUCAGACGCAGGCCCAUCCUCUGCCGAUAAAUCUUUGGCAGUCCUGAAAUGCUACAUGACUGCUUUAUCAGGUAUUAAUCACCGUUUCCAGUGGCUAUCCCUGUGCAAAGGGCAGGUUGCCUACGCGUUACUCACCCGUCUGCCGCUUUCCGCCUUUUAAUUCAUCCGAAGAAUCUUUAAAAGGUUUCUCGCUCGACUUGCAUGUAUUAGGCACGCCGCCAGCGUUCAUC
Molecule: ribosomal RNA, 328 nt
Filed under: uncultured Clostridiaceae bacterium
Lineage: Bacteria; Bacillati; Bacillota; Clostridia; Eubacteriales; Clostridiaceae
Description: partial 16S ribosomal RNA
Source: RNAcentral